CAUGAAAUCAUAAAGCUGCCAAUUUAUUAUGACAAUGUAUUUUAACAAUAAAACUUUAAUGCCUGAAAAUUAUAUUGUUCAUUAGAUGUCUUCAAAGGCUGUGAAUUCAUGUGUUAUACAAACAUAACAUGCUGGUAUUCACUGCACAAUCACAGAUGACGUUUCCCUUAUAUAAAACUUCAUUUUACAGCAUAUCUAUCAUAUAAAAUGGAAUUAUGGAAGAAUGGUUGUAGGUUAUUUCAUAUGAAAUAUUACAGACAUCCAUUUACUGGCUCAUUUUACAUAUCAGCACAAAAAUCAAUUUGCAACAGUAAAAAUUAAUGAUUGACAUGAGGAUGAAAUACAUACAGUGGAGUUAUAUUUUUAUAUUUUAACAAGCAAAAUACUGCUGUCACAGAUUUUUUUUUUAAAUUAUAAUAUUGUGGCCUGUAAAUUUAUAAUUUUCUCUAACAUUUGGAUUACA
RNAcentral lists this long non-coding RNA (463 nucleotides) under Mytilus galloprovincialis (Mediterranean mussel). Lineage: Eukaryota; Metazoa; Mollusca; Bivalvia; Mytilida; Mytilidae. The record is from RNAcentral.